CCGAAUAUUGAUUUAAGUGGGAGGAAAGAAAAAAAAUGCCAAAUGGAGCUCCAUGAAUAAUAUUUUUUUGAAGAGCUAUUAACAAAUGAUUCCAAACUAUAAAAGCUUUAUCAGCCAAUGUCGGGUUAAUUGUCUGCCUCUGGCCUCGCUGCUAAGAAGAAGAAGAAGAAGAAACAUUCAGCCAAUAUCUCACAGAUUGUAGCACUAUACUACACUUAAGGUUGAGCCGUUGAGUUGGGUCCAUCAUCCAUGUCUUUUAUCAACUGGUUGUAUAAUUGUUUCGGCAAUUAACACCAUCAUCGGAGAGUGACCAAGGAUCGAUAAGGUUUAUUUGUGCACUUUAAUUAAUGUAUGAAAAAGCAGAUGGAGUGGCUCAUGAAACCUAGCAAACAAGAUAUGGCCACUUCCAACCCCAGCACAUGUGGAUCAUUGCAUUGGAUUUCUAGUUUGCCACGGUAGGACCUCUUGAUUUUUUUCCAUAUGCAAUUUCUUUUAAAAAAUAAAAAGUGGCUACAAAAACAUUAGCUCUAUCAUUUUAGACAUGUCCUAUAUCAAUACGAUUGUUGAAGUGUUUAUUUAAGAUUUCUUUCCGACAUGAAAAUUACAUACAAUAGCCAAUAAAUAUCUUAAGGUUUUAAAUAGAGAGAA
This 648-nucleotide long non-coding RNA is filed under the name Glycine max (soybean). Its description in RNAcentral is "long non-coding RNA (GMAX_LNC001215)". The record is from RNAcentral. Lineage: Eukaryota; Viridiplantae; Streptophyta; Magnoliopsida; Fabales; Fabaceae.